RNAcentral lists this long non-coding RNA (3349 nucleotides) under Canis lupus familiaris (dog). RNAcentral describes it as "lncRNA (ENSCAFG00030020223.1)". Lineage: Eukaryota; Metazoa; Chordata; Mammalia; Carnivora; Canidae. The record is from RNAcentral.
AGGAGGUAGAGGGGCCAGGCAUGGCUUAGAUGGUGAGUGGCCUGAAUGCCAGGGUAAGGGUUUGGCCUUUCCCUGGCUGCCCUAGCCAGGCCCUUGAGGGCAGAAACUAUUGGAAGUUUAUGUUUGGGAAAUACCAAGUGGGGCAGAGUUGAACAGGGCACGAAGGGAGGGAUGUAAGAAUCCACAUACUGGAGACCAUUGCCUAUGGGGAAACACACCCUUCCACCUGGGUUCCUCCAGAGGUGAACAGAAACCCUGUUUGCCUGAGCUUACACUGCCAACUGGCCUAGCCAUCCCCCAGGGGGAGCCAAUCAGAGAAAGUGCUGAGUCAUCAUCCCUAGCGGGAGAGUGUUAAAAAAAGGGGCAACAGGCUCAAAAUGGAGUCAUUUGUGCUGAGCCAACAUCACCAAACUGAGAUUUAAUGCCUAACUUAAAUCAGUUUCAAUCUCUCCCAGGAAUGGAAUCUUAGACAAGUCAAUUUGGAAUCAACUGGCCAGCACUGAUGAGGUAAUCUGCCUGAGAUAUCCCUACUGUCCCCUAAGGAAAGUGACCUUGCCAUAAACAACCCACUCUUUGUCCCUAUCUUCCUUGUCCUGUCCCCUCCUACUUAUACAAGUCUUCCAUUUUGUAUAGAUACUUGGGGAUUCUUGCCAUCUGCUAGAUGGUUAGCAGCCCCAUUUGAAUCAGUUUUUGCUCAAAUAAACUCUUAGAAUUUUUCAUAUGUCUCAAAGUUUAUCUUUUAGCAAGAGGGAAGAGAAAAAGAGGGAAGAAGUGAAGGGGAGGGGGAGAGACAAGCAAAUAGGUCCUUUUAGAAUGUCAGAGUUUCCUCUGCUAUGCCAAACACACACCUUUCCCCUGUGGGUUCUAAAGCAAUUGAGAAAUACCCAUACCUUUUUCUCUUGGAACUUAGGAAAUGGGGUAUUUUUUCCCCUUUUUCCCCCCAACCUUUUUUCUAUUCCAUCCCUAUUACACAAUCAAAGACAUCUUAGGAGGACUACCCCCAUUAUCUGGCUUCAUCCCCAAAUGAAUAAUUAUUCAAGAGUUAACGAAAAAUAACAUAAUUAUUAUUCCAACACUAAUGGCUAUCACCGCUCUACUUAACUUAUAUUUCUACCUGCGACUCACAUAUAGCACCGCACUUACCAUGUUUCCAUCCACAAACAAUAUAAAAAUAAAAUGACAAUUUGAACGUACAAAAAAGAUAACCCUUUUACCACCACUAAUUAUCAUCUCUACUAUAUUACUCCCACUAACACCUAUAUUAUCAGUCUUGGACUAGGAGUUUAGGUUAGACCAGACCAAGAGCCUUCAAAGCUCUAAGCAAGUGCUACACACUUAACCCCUGAUCAAAUCACCUCUAAGGGCUGCAAGAAUCUAUCUUACAUCAAUUGAAUGCAAAUCAAACACUUUAAUUAAGCUAAGCCCUCCCUAGAUUGGUGAGCUUCUACCUCACGAAAUUUUAGUUAACAGCUAAAUACCCUAGUAACUGGCUUCAAUCUACCUUCUCCCGCCGCGUAAAAAAAAAAAGACCCGGCAGGCAGCGUCUAGGCUGCUUCUUUGAAUUUGCAAUUCAAUAUGAAAAUUCACCACGGAGCUUGGCAAAAAGAGGACUUAAACCCCUAUCUUUAGAUUUACAGUCUAAUGCUUUUAUCAGCCAUUUUACCUAUGUUCAUUAACCGAUGAUUGUUCUCCACUAAUCACAAGGAUAUUGGUACUUUAUACUUACUAUUUGGAGCAUGAGCCGGUAUAGUAGGCACUGCCUUGAGCCUCCUCAUCCGAGCCGAACUAGGUCAACCUGGUACCCUAUUAGGAGAUGACCAGAUUUAUAAUGUCAUCGUAACCGCCCAUGCUUUCAUAAUAAUUUUCUUUAUGGUUAUACCCAUUAUAAUUGGAGGAUUCGGAAAUUGACUAGUUCCACUAAUAAUUGGCACCCCAGAAAUGGCAUUCCCCCGAAUAAAUAACAUAAGUUUCUGACUGCUCCCUCCAUCUUUUCUCCUAUUGCUAGCAUCCUCAAUGGUAGAAGCAGGUGCAGGAACAGGAUGAACUGUAUACCCCCCACUAGGCGGCAACCUAGCCCACACAGGAGCAUCAGUAGAUCUAACAAUAUCUUCUUCGUUACAUCUAGCCGAGUUUCCUCUAUUCUAGGGGCAAUCAAUUUUAUUACUACUCUUAUUAAUAUAAAACCCCCAGCUAUGUCUCAGUAUCAAACCCCUUUAUUUGUAUGAUCUGUGCUAAUCACAGCAGUCCUAUUGCUCUUGUCAUUACCUGUACUAGCUGCCGGAAUUACAAUACUUCUAACGGACCGAAACCUGAAUACAACAUUUUUCGAUCCUGCUGGAGGGGGAGACCCCAUUCUAUACCAGCACUUAUUUUGAUUUUUUGGGCACCCUGGAGUCUAUAUUUUAAUUUUGCCUGGGUUUGGAAUAAUUUCUCAUAUUUUGUUACAUAUUAUUUGGGGGAAAAAGAGCCCUUCGGCUACAUAGGAAUGGUUUGAGUUUUUUUUUUUUUUUUAAUUUAUGAUAGGCACACAGUGAGAGAGAGAGAGAGGCAGAGACACAGGCAGAGGGAGAAGCAGGCUCCAUGCACCGGGAGCCUGACGUGGGAUUCGAUCCUGGGUCUCCAGGAUCGCACCCUGGGCCAAAGGCAGGCGCCAAACCACUGCGCCACCCAGGGAUCCCCAUAGGAAUGGUUUGAGCAAUGAUAUCUAUUGGGUUCCUAGGCUUUAUUGUAUGGGCUCACCAUAUAUUUACUGUAGGGAUGGAUGUAGACACAAGAGCAUAUUUUACAUCCGCUACUAUAAUUAUUGCUAUCCCAACAGGAGUUAAAGUAUUUAGCUGAUUAGCAACACUUCAUGGAGGAAAUAUCAAAUGAUCUCCCACUAUACUAUGGGCUCUAGGGUUUAUCUUCCUGUUCACAGUAGGUGGAUUAACAGGCAUUGUCUUAGCUAACUCAUCCCUAGACAUUGUUCUUCAUGAUAUAUAUUAUGUUGUAGCCCACUUCCACUAUGUACUCUCAGUGGGAGCAGUAUUUGCUAUUAUAGGCGGAUUUGCUCACUGAUUCCCCUUAUUUUCAGGGUAUACUCUCAACGACACUUGAGCAAAAAUUCACUUUACAAUUAUAUUUGUAGGAGUCAAUAUAACCUUUUUUCCCUGUGUAUCUACAAGGGGGUUUCUAAGCUUUACGAUUCCUCAGGACCAGAUUGUUAGAGCUGUCCUUGGACUCAGGGUCUACUGUACUAAUAAGUACAAUAAAAUGGGAUUAGCACAUACAUGUAACAUCCACAUGUAAACCCCACCCUCACUUCUGACCACUGUUGCUCCAGCACCCUCCACCCACACAGAGUUGUAUC